ACAUCUUAUCCUUCGUUUCUCCCGGCGGCGAAUCCAGCAUUCAACGCUAUCUAAUCCCCAACUCUCUCCCCCCACUCCACCCCCAUGGCUUCCAUUCCAGCUCCUCGCCUCCCACCGACCUCUGCCCACGCCGCCGAUCCAAACCCUCACAAAUUCCCCUCCAAGCCCUCGAGAUUCCUCCGCACUCCUCCUGCCGUCGCGCUUUCCCCAUUCAAGAAAGCCUCCACCUCAGCCUCUAGGGCUUUCGAUUUGGGCCCCUGCCGCUGCCUGAACCCGCAGUCCGACUUCCCCUCGCCGGAUGGUGAUUCUAGACGGCGGAGAUGGGAUUCUCUGCUCCACGACUUCGUGAGGAGCGCCGUGAAGAGGUGGGACGAUUAUGUGAGCUCGUACUGGAAUUCUUCGCCCAAGAAUGGCCCUCGGACCAAUGUGCCGGCGGGGAAGGGGGAAGAGAAAGAGGUGGAGGGGAAGGAUGAGGGGAAGAAGGGGGAGGAAGAAGGGGAUUGGGAUUGGGAGAGGUGGAAGCGGCACUUUGCCGAGAUUGAAGAGCAGCAGAGUCUGGUCUCUGUGCUAAAGUCACAAUUAUCCGAUGCUAUUAUCCGAGAGAAUUAUAAAGAAGCUGCAAAGCUGAAGCUGGCAAUUGCAGCUGCCACAGAAAAAGAUACUGUGGGAGCAGCAAUAUCAGAUAUGAAUAGGGCCAUAGAGGAAGAGCGUUAUGCUGAUGCAGCUUACAUUCGAGACCAUGCUGGUGCAGGAUUGUUGGGAUGGUGGGCUGGUUUUUCGGAAGAUGGUGCUGAUCCUUAUGGUCGAAUUAUCCGUAUAAGUGCAGAACAUGGAAGAUAUGUGGCAAGAAGUUAUAGUUCCAGGCAACUUGCUACAGCUAGGCCAGGUUGUCCUCUAUUUGAAAUUUUUUUCACUGUGAUCAAUGGAGAGUACAAGCAGCAGGCAGUGUAUUUGAAACAGAAUGGUGACGAUUCUGGAGGCUUACAUAAGCGUGGGAUAAAAAAUGAAAUUAGCAGCCUAAACCCAUCAGACAGUUCAGCUGAAGGACAAAAUGGUAUAUAUAGUGAGGACAUAGAAUCACUUGAGAAGGGGGAUGAUGACUCUGAUGUGACUGAUGAGCUAACCAGUAUACAGAACAUUUUGCAAGAUAUUAUUCCUGGUGUCAAGGUCAAGGUCUUAAAGGUAGUUGCUCCAGGGAGGGUAGACAGAGAUUUGAUUGCUAAAGUUAUUGAAGAGAUAAUAGAGGAAGAGGAUGAUGGACAUGAUGAAGAGUUAGACAGUUUAGAGCCCGAAGACAUUAAAUCUGACAGUGACAUGGAAGAGACAGAAAUGAAUGCUGGAGAUGCACCUAACAAUUUUUCUGAAGAGAAAAACACCAUGCCAGUAAAAAUUGUAAUUGAGGGUCUCAUGCAAAAGCUGCAUGCUGAUGUGCCUCCAGAAGAUCUUUUCCGCAUGCCAGCUAGGCUAGAGAAAAAGAAUCACAUAUCAUUUUCCUUUGUUCCAGAGCAUGAUGAGAGGGAAUUUGUUACUAAUAAGAAAGGACAGGCUUCAGGGAAAAAAGUUGCUCCACAUUCAUCACAGCUGAGUGCUAAUCUUGUUAUGUCUGAUCUUGCCAAAGUCAUCCUUAGCAAAGAGAAGGUAACCAUGAAGGUGCUUAGAGACAUUGGAGAAUUAAUCAGUUUUGCAGCUAAUCGCCAGAAUCAUCAGCCUUUGUUAGGACCAACACUCUUCAACCGUAUUGAGAUACCAGCAACUUCAGAUCCCCUUACUGGCCUUUAUGUUGGAGCUCAUGGAAUGUACACCUCUGAAAUCCUCCAUUUGAAACGUAAGUUUGGUCAAUGGCAAGAGGAUCCUGCAACUCAGAAGCAAGCGAAUUUGGAAUUUUAUGAAUAUGUUGAAGCCAUCAAAUUAACUGGGGAUCUUUCUGUACCAGCUGGUCAGGUUACCUUUCGUGCUAAAAUUGGCAAACAAUAUCAGCUGCCUCAUAAGGGGAUAAUUCCUGAAGAAUUUGGAGUGGUUGCUAGAUACAAGGGACAAGGGAGGCUGGCUGAUCCUGGGUUCAGAAAUCCUCGAUGGGUUGAUGGCGAGCUUGUCAUUCUUGAUGGAAAGUAUAUUAGAGGAGGCCCUGUUAUUGGAUUUGUUUAUUGGACAUCAGGAUAUAAUAUCUUGUUAUUCUUUAAUCGGUUAAAGCUUCCAGAUUAGAUUGCUACCGCAUGCAGAAGGUGAUCAGGAUACCUCAUUUCAGAUAUGUAGGCUACAUUUGAUGAAGCCUGUAUAGAAAUUGAAAGCGUGGAUUGUCUAAGCUGCACGGCACAUUGCUCACUGGACGGUACGUGCAGAAUCAAGCACCACCAGAAUCAGAAAAAAGAACUACGAAAUCUGUCACCUUGCUUCCCAAAAUCAAGUCUUCCUUUCUUUCCUAUACCACUUCCAUGUACAUUGUCAACCGAAGAACUAAAUGAUGGUUGUAUAUGCUCUUAACCUUUGCAAAUUUUGCUUCUAUAUAUGAUGACUUUUACUUGUUACAUGUACUAAACCUACAAGCUAUACGUGAAGGUGCAAUUGUCUCCAUAUGCAAUUAUUAUUUUCCUAAAUAGAAUUGUAACCA
Phoenix dactylifera (date palm) is the source of this 2608-nucleotide RNA transcript. It is a transcript of the gene named UvrB/UvrC domain protein (DUF3506), with no coding region annotated. Lineage: Eukaryota; Viridiplantae; Streptophyta; Magnoliopsida; Arecales; Arecaceae. The record is from RefSeq and is a predicted model, not a curated record.